Molecule: ribosomal RNA, 497 nt
Filed under: uncultured bacterium
Lineage: Bacteria
Description: partial 16S ribosomal RNA
Rfam family: Bacterial small subunit ribosomal RNA
Source: RNAcentral
GAUGAACGCUGGCGGCGUGCCUAAUACAUCCAAGUCGAGCGAACAGACGAGGAGCUUGCUCCUCUGACGUUAGCGGCGGACGGGUGAGUAACACGUGGAUAACCUACCUAUAAGACUGGGAUAACUUCGGGAAACCGGAGCUAAUACCGGAUAAUAUAUUGAACCGCAUGGUUCAAUAGUGAAAGACGGUUUUGCUGUCACUUAUAGAUGGAUCCGCGCCGCAUUAGCUAGUUGGUAAGGUAACGGCUUACCAAGGCAACGAUGCGUAGCCGACCUGAGAGGGUGAUCGGCCACACUGGAACUGAGACACGGUCCAGACUCCUACGGGAGGCAGCAGUAGGGAAUCUUCCGCAAUGGGCGAAAGCCUGACGGAGCAACGCCGCGUGAGUGAUGAAGGUCUUCGAAUCGUAAAACUCUGUUAUUAGGGAAGAACAAAUGUGUAAGUAACUAUGCACGUCUUGACGGUACCUAAUCAGAAAGCCACGGCUAACUACGUG